Long non-coding RNA from Alligator sinensis (Chinese alligator), 607 nucleotides. RefSeq lists it as uncharacterized. The transcript has 5 exons. The record is from RefSeq and is a predicted model, not a curated record. NCBI's taxonomy places the organism in Eukaryota, Metazoa, Chordata, Crocodylia, Alligatoridae.
CAGCUUGCUGAGCCAGACAAGAGGCAGCUAUCAUGGCAGUUGGAUGGUAUCCACAAUGUCUCCAGGUGCUCAAGCAGAGUGGAAUAGGAGCGUACUAAGGAGCCUGACACAGCGACUUUUGUGACAUGCUGUCAUCUUAAGAAAACUUACAGCUUUGGCAGAUGGCAGAGUCCAGUCCUUUAUGUGAAUAACCACAUCAUACGUAGAUGAGCUCUCACACUGAAACACGGUGCCUUUCUAUAAUGUCCAUUUGAUGUCAUCUGAAAAAAAAUAAGCAUGCAGGAGCCCAAGUGUGGAGCAAGCCAAGAUGGAGCCAGGUGAGAUGUAUAUGCAAGAUCAUCCAGUGCCAAACAUCAAAGAUACAUGGAGCAUUAACACUGAACAUUAGAAGACGAUCUAGAGAUAAGUUAACAGUCCUAUGGAAUCAUUUUCCCUGUAGAGCUCAGUGAGAUUCUGUUUGCUCAGCUUUCCAGAAUCCCAGUGCCUUGGAUGCUGCUUCUCUGGUUCACCUGAACAAACAUCCCCCACGUGCAGCUUUCCACGCUCUCUCUGUUCAGCCGCUUCCAGGGCAUUUUCCCAACAUCACAACCACAUCACACCAAUGACC